UUUCUAGAGAUAGAAAGUUACUUCGGUACAUCGGUGACAGGUGGUGCAUGGUUGUCGUCAGCUCGUGUCGUGAGAUGUUGGGUUAAGUCCCGCAACGAGCGCAACCCCUAUUGUUAGUUGCCAUCAUUCAGUUUGGGCACUCUAGCGAGACUGCCGGUAAUAAACCGGAGGAAGUGGGAUGACGUCAAAUCAUCAUGCCCCUUAUGACCUGGGCUACACACGUGCUACAAUGGUUGGUACAACGAGUUGCGAGUCGGUGACGGCGAGCUAAUCUCUUAAAGCCAAUCUCAGUUCGGAUUGUAGGCUGCAACUCGCCUACAUGAAGUCGGAAUCGCUAGUAAUCGCGGAUCAGCACGCCGCGGUGAAUACGUUCCCGGGCCUU
This 382-nucleotide ribosomal RNA is filed under the name uncultured Streptococcus sp. RNAcentral describes it as "bacterial SSU rRNA". It matches the Rfam family "Bacterial small subunit ribosomal RNA", at positions 997 to 1382 of the family's 1533-position model. The record is from RNAcentral. Lineage: Bacteria; Bacillati; Bacillota; Bacilli; Lactobacillales; Streptococcaceae.